GGGUGAGCUGAUUGGGCCAUGUGUCACUCCUCGACCCACAGGGUUGAUUCUGCUGACCUGGUUGACCAGGCAGGUGUUCUUUACCACCCCAUGUGUAAUCCUGCUUAAAGAGGACAGCCUUUCCAGAACAGAGAUGGGCAGGUCUGAGGAUGAAGGUAUAGGAGUCCUGUGCUCCCCUUCUAAAGCCUCCAGACAAGCACUCAAGAAAAAAAAAAAAAGCCAGGGAAAGUCAGGGUGAGUCAUUAACAAGUGCACUGUACCUGUAUAUCUGG
RNAcentral lists this small nuclear RNA (272 nucleotides) under Erinaceus europaeus (western European hedgehog). RNAcentral describes it as "7SK RNA". It matches the Rfam family "7SK RNA". From Rfam's summary of the family: 7SK was discovered as an abundant small nuclear RNA in the mid-70s but a possible function has only recently been suggested. Two independent studies have found that 7SK RNA binds the CDK9/cyclin T complex (known as elongation factor P-TEFb). P-TEFb activates transcription by phosphorylating the C-terminal domain of RNA polymerase II. The record is from Rfam by way of RNAcentral. Lineage: Eukaryota; Metazoa; Chordata; Mammalia; Eulipotyphla; Erinaceidae.